GACGAACGCUGGCGGCGUGCCUAAUACAUGCAAGUAGAACGCACAGUUUAUACCGUAGCUUGCUACACCAUAGACUGUGAGUUGCGAACGGGUGAGUAACGCGUAGGUAACCUGCCUGGUAGCGGGGGAUAACUAUUGGAAACGAUAGCUAAUACCGCAUAAUAUUGAUUAUUGCAUGAUAAUUGAUUGAAAGAUGCUAUUGCAUCACUACCAGAUGGACCUGCGUUGUAUUAGCUAGUAGGUGAGGUAACGGCUCACCUAGGCGACGAUACAUAGCCGACCUGAGAGGGUGAUCGGCCACACUGGGACUGAGACACGGCCCAGACUCCUACGGGAGGCAGCAGUAGGGAAUCUUCGGCAAUGGACGAAAGUCUGACCGAGCAACGCCGCGUGAGUGAAGAAGGUUUUCGGAUUGUAAAGCUCUGUUGUAAGAGAAGAACGGGUGUGAGAGUGGAAAGUUCACACUGUGACGGUAUCUUACCAGAAAGGGACGGCUAACUACGUG
Molecule: ribosomal RNA, 505 nt
Filed under: uncultured bacterium
Lineage: Bacteria
Description: partial 16S ribosomal RNA
Rfam family: Bacterial small subunit ribosomal RNA
Source: RNAcentral